UUAAACUGAGAUUGUAAUUACCGUAGAAGAAAAAUAGCCUCCAACAUUUGAGUCGUAUAUAUUGCUGAGACACAAAGUAUCUGAUUCUCUGCCUACUGCUUAUCCAUUAGGGCACCGUCCAUAUAGGUGGAGCCAAGUGAAACACAGAAGGGAGCCCACCUACACGAACCACCACAUAUGGUGCGGUCGUAUCAUGGCUGCAAAUAUCAAGAGCCUUGUUUUCUUGUUGGCCAUCACCUUCCUUGGUAGCUUUCCAACAGUGAGAUUGUCAUCAAAGUUCUCCAAGGAGAGAUGUUAUUCCUUUGCGCAUCCAAGUAAUCAUAUCAGAUAUCAAAGCCUUAAUUUGCAACCUCCUUCGAGUCUAUCUCCUUUUCCUUUAUUAGGAGACGUUGUAAUUCCGCUGCUCAUGCUAUAGCUUGCCGAGCGCUCCAAAGCUCUUCUUUCAUUAGCAAUCUGCCGGAGC
This 463-nucleotide unclassified non-coding RNA is filed under the name Hevea brasiliensis (rubber tree). The record is from RNAcentral. Lineage: Eukaryota; Viridiplantae; Streptophyta; Magnoliopsida; Malpighiales; Euphorbiaceae.